This 298-nucleotide signal recognition particle RNA is filed under the name Bos grunniens (domestic yak). RNAcentral describes it as "Metazoan signal recognition particle RNA (ENSBGRG00000003537.1)". It matches the Rfam family "Metazoan signal recognition particle RNA". Rfam says of the family: The signal recognition particle (SRP) is a universally conserved ribonucleoprotein. It is involved in the co-translational targeting of proteins to membranes. Lineage: Eukaryota; Metazoa; Chordata; Mammalia; Artiodactyla; Bovidae. The record is from Rfam by way of RNAcentral.
GCCGGGCGCGGUGGCACGCGCCUGUAAUCCCAGCUACUCGGGAGGCUGAGGCUGGAGGAUCGCUUGAGCUCAGGAGUUCUGGGCUGCAGUGCGCUAUGCCGAUCGGGUGUCCGCACUAAGUUCAGCAUCAAUAUGGUGACCUCCCGGGAGCAGGGGGCCACCAGGUUGCCUAAGGAGGGUGAACCGCCCAGGUCGGAAACGGAGCAGGUCAAAACUCCUGUGCUGAUCAGUAGUGGGAUCGCGCCUGUGAAUAGCCACUGUACUCCAGCCUGGGCAAUAUAGCGAGACCCUGUCUCUU